CCUUCGAUAGCUCAGUUGGUAGAGCGGAGGACUGUAGAUCCUGUUAUCGCUGGUUCGAAUCCGGCUCGAAGGA
RNAcentral lists this transfer RNA (73 nucleotides) under Saccoglossus kowalevskii. RNAcentral's name for it is "tRNA-Tyr". It matches the Rfam family "tRNA". From Rfam's summary of the family: Transfer RNA (tRNA) molecules are approximately 80 nucleotides in length. The record is from RNAcentral. Lineage: Eukaryota; Metazoa; Hemichordata; Enteropneusta; Harrimaniidae.